UACGUAGGGGGCAAGCGUUGUCCGGAAUCAUUGGGCGUAAAGCGCGUGUAGGCGGCUCGGUAAGUCUGCUGUGAAAGUCCAGGGCUCAACCCUGGAAAGCCGGUGGAAACUGUCGAGCUAGAGUCCGGAAGAGGCGAGUGGAAUUCCUGGUGUAGCGGGUGAAAUGCGCAGAUAUCAAGGAGGAACACCAAUGGCGAAGGCAGCUCGCUGGACGGUACUGACGCUGAGACGCGAAGCGUGGGAGCAACAGG
RNAcentral lists this ribosomal RNA (251 nucleotides) under uncultured bacterium. Its description in RNAcentral is "partial 16S ribosomal RNA". It matches the Rfam family "Bacterial small subunit ribosomal RNA", at positions 524 to 776 of the family's 1533-position model. The record is from RNAcentral.